CAUAGGUUUGGUCCUGGCCUUUCCAUUAGCUAUUGAUAAACUUACACAUGCAAGAAUCCUCGCCCCAGUGAAAACGCCCUUCUAAAUCACCUAGUGACAACAAGGAGCCGGCAUCAAGCACACUAAAAGUAGCUCAAGACGCCUCGCUUAGCCACGCCCCCACGGGAGACAGCAGUGACAAAAAUUAAGCAAUAAAUGAAAGUCUGACUAAGUUAUAUUAUUGAGGACUGGUCAAUUUCGUGCCAGCCACCGCGGUCAUACGAUUAGACCAAGCUAAUGGAUACUCGGCGUAAAGAGUGUUUUAGAACCCAAAAACUAAUAAAGUCAAAUCCUAACUAAGCUGUAAAAAGUUCUAGUUACAACAAAGACAAAUAGACGAAAGUAACUUUAAAAAAUCUGAGCACACGACAGCUAAGAUCCAAACUGGGAUUAGAUACCCCACUAUGCUUAGCCUUAAACAUAAAAAAUUUUAAACAAAAUUAUUCGCCAGAGUACUACUAGCAAGUGCUGGAAACUCAAAGGACUUGGCGGUGCCUUAUACCCUUCUAGAGGAGCCUGUUCCAUAAUCGAUAAACCCCGAUCUACCUUACCAAUCUUUGCUAAAUCAGCCUAUAUACCGCCAUCUUCAGUAAACCCUAAAAAGGAAACAUAGUAAGCGCAAAUAUCAACAUAAAGACGUUAGGUCAAGGUGUAGCUUAUAGAUUGGAGAGAAAUGGGCUACAUUCUCCGAACCGGAGUAACACUCACGAAGACUUAUAUGAAAUCAAAAGUUAAAGGUGGAUUUAGUAGUAAAUUAAGAGCAGAGUGCUUAAUUGAAUCAGGCCAUGAGGCACGCACACACCGCCCGUCACCCUCCUCAAAUAAAAAAUAUUAGUUAUUACUUAAAACUCAUAAUAUUAACUUAUAAGAGGAGAUAAGUCGUAACAAGGUAAGUGUACUGGAAAGUGCACUUGGACAACU
RNAcentral lists this non-coding RNA (960 nucleotides) under Plecotus macrobullaris. RNAcentral's name for it is "12S ribosomal RNA". It matches the Rfam family "Bacterial small subunit ribosomal RNA". The record is from RNAcentral. Lineage: Eukaryota; Metazoa; Chordata; Mammalia; Chiroptera; Vespertilionidae.